AUUGAACGCUGGCGGCAUGCCUUACACAUGCAAGUCGAACGGUAACAGGUCUUCGGAUGCUGACGAGUGGCGAACGGGUGAGUAAUACAUCGGAACGUGCCUAGUAGUGGGGGAUAACUACUCGAAAGAGUGGCUAAUACCGCAUGAGAUCCACGGAUGAAAGCAGGGGAUCGCAAGACCUUGUGCUACUAGAGCGGCCGAUGGCAGAUUAGGUAGUUGGUGGGAUAAAAGCUUACCAAGCCGACGAUCUGUAGCUGGUCUGAGAGGACGAUCAGCCACACUGGGACUGAGACACGGCCCAGACUCCUACGGGAGGCAGCAGUGGGGAAUUUUGGACAAUGGGCGAAAGCCUGAUCCAGCAAUGCCGCGUGCAGGAUGAAGGCCUUCGGGUUGUAAGCUGCUUUUGUACGGAACGAAAAGCCCCGGGUUAAUACCCUGGGGUCAUGACGGUACCGUAAGAAUAAGCACCGGCUAACUACGUGCCAGCAGCCGCCGUAA
RNAcentral lists this ribosomal RNA (498 nucleotides) under uncultured bacterium. RNAcentral describes it as "partial 16S ribosomal RNA". It matches the Rfam family "Bacterial small subunit ribosomal RNA", at positions 30 to 523 of the family's 1533-position model. The record is from RNAcentral.